This 433-nucleotide ribosomal RNA is filed under the name uncultured bacterium. Its description in RNAcentral is "partial 16S ribosomal RNA". It matches the Rfam family "Bacterial small subunit ribosomal RNA", at positions 29 to 507 of the family's 1533-position model. The record is from RNAcentral.
AACGAACGCUGGCGGCAUGCCUAACACAUGCAAGUCGAACGAGACCUUCGGGUCUAGUGGCGCACGGGUGCGUAACGCGUGGGAACCUGCCCUUAGGUUCGGAAUAACUCCCCGAAAGGGGUGCUAAUACCGGAUAAUGUCUUCGGACCAAAGAUUUAUCGCCUUUGGAUGGGCCCGCGUUGGAUUAGCUAGUUGGUAGGGUGAAAGCCUACCAAGGCGACGAUCCAUAGCUGGUCUGAGAGGAUGAUCAGCCACACUGGGACUGAGACACGGCCCAGACUCCUACGGGAGGCAGCAGUGGGGAAUAUUGGACGAUGGGCGAAAGCCUGAUCCAGCAAUGCCGCGUGAGUGAUGAAGGCCUUAGGGUUGUAAAGCUCUUUUACCCGGGAUGAUAAUGACAGUACCGGGAGAAUAAGCUCCGGCUAACUCCGUG